Pongo abelii (Sumatran orangutan) is the source of this 148-nucleotide unclassified non-coding RNA. It matches the Rfam family "Metazoan signal recognition particle RNA". From Rfam's summary of the family: The signal recognition particle (SRP) is a universally conserved ribonucleoprotein. It is involved in the co-translational targeting of proteins to membranes. Lineage: Eukaryota; Metazoa; Chordata; Mammalia; Primates; Hominidae. The record is from Ensembl.
GUCAGGCGUGGUGGUGCACACCUGUAGUCCCAGCUACUGGGGAGGCUGAGGUGGGAGGAUUGCUUGAGCCCUGGAGGUCAAGGCUGCAGUGAGCUGUGAUCGCACCACUGCACUCUAGCCUGGGCAACAGAGCAAGACCCUGUCUCAA